CACACGACUCUCGGCAACGGAUAUCUCGGCUCUCGCAUCGAUGAAGAACGUAGCGAAAUGCGAUACCUGGUGUGAAUUGCGGAAUCCCGCGAACCAUCGAGUCUUUGAACGCAAGUUGCGCCCGAGGCCACUCGGCCGAGGGCACGCCUGCCUGGGCGUCACGC
Molecule: ribosomal RNA, 164 nt
Filed under: Leymus mollis
Lineage: Eukaryota; Viridiplantae; Streptophyta; Magnoliopsida; Poales; Poaceae
Also listed under: 1 other name
Description: 5.8S ribosomal RNA
Rfam family: 5.8S ribosomal RNA
About the family: 5.8S ribosomal RNA (5.8S rRNA) is a component of the large subunit of the eukaryotic ribosome. It is transcribed by RNA polymerase I as part of the 45S precursor that also contains 18S and 28S rRNA.
Source: RNAcentral